GAUGAACGCUGGCGGCGUGCUUAAUACAUGCAAGUCGAGCGGAAGGACGCGAAGCUUGUUUCUUUGUUGUUAGCGGAGGACGGGUGUGUAACACGUGGAUAACCUACCUAUCAGUCUGGGAUAACCACGGGAAACCGUAGCUUAUACCGGAUAAUAUUUUGAACCGCAUGGUUCAAAGGUGAGAGACGGUCUUGCUGUCUCGUCUCGAUGGAUCCGGGCUGCUUUAGCUAGUUGGUAAGGUAACGGCUUACCAAGGCAACUAUGCAUGACCGACCUGAGAGGGUGAUCGGCGACACGGGAGGGGAGACGCGGUCCAGACUCCUACGGGAGGCAGCAGAAGGGAAUCUGCCGCAAUGGGCGAAAGCCUGACGGAGCAGCGCCGCGCGAGUGAUGAAGGUCUUCGGAUCGUAAUACCCUGUUAUUGGUUGUGAACAUAUUUGGAAGGAACUGUGGACAGCUUGACGGUACCUAGUCAAGAAGCCACGGCUAACUACGUG
Molecule: ribosomal RNA, 497 nt
Filed under: uncultured bacterium
Lineage: Bacteria
Description: partial 16S ribosomal RNA
Rfam family: Bacterial small subunit ribosomal RNA
Source: RNAcentral